Molecule: long non-coding RNA, 355 nt
Organism: Protopterus annectens (West African lungfish)
Lineage: Eukaryota; Metazoa; Chordata; Ceratodontiformes; Protopteridae
Exons: 3
Source: RefSeq, a predicted model, not a curated record
CCCGGAGUAGAAGGCAGCAGUUUAUUUACGCAGGGGCAAAGGAAACGAUUGGUUGUUGCGGCGCGGGGUUUGACAGGAGAAGCACGAGGACGGAACUGACAGAGGGGAAAGUUAAAAAUAAAGAUGAGCAGCAAUGUAGCCAGUCCUGUAUCUAGUGGUGCCGCUUCCAGCAGUGCAAGAGGAGCUGGAAAGCCCAUAAGCUUUGCAUCUGAACUGCAGACUAUGAUUGGGAAUCUGCUGUCUGCGGUAGUUAGUGGUAACUACUACUGGGGAAAUAAAGCAAAGGUACAAUGUUUAAAUCUAAUACUUUAUUUGUGCUUUUCAUGAAAACAUUGAAAUGUUGGACUGAAUGGCU